RNAcentral lists this transfer RNA (138 nucleotides) under Sphaerisporangium rubeum. RNAcentral describes it as "tRNA-OTHER". Lineage: Bacteria; Bacillati; Actinomycetota; Actinomycetes; Streptosporangiales; Streptosporangiaceae. The record is from RNAcentral.
GGGUUGCAGUUCAGGGUGAUGCAGAGCCGUUCAGGAUGGACCACGCAUGCCCGCUGACCUGCAUUGAACCAUCUGGAACCAUGAUCGUCCGAGCUUUUAAUCCGUAGGUUCAGGGUUCGAAUCCCUGGCGGCCCACCA